UUUUUUAAUGUAUUAAUAAAAAAUAUAAAACAUAAAGUUUCGUUACUUAUAUUCAUUAAGUGUAUUUUAUAUGCAGCACAAGAUAAUAAUUCUUCAGUCAGUGCGGCCCAGGCAAGCCAGAAGAUUGGACACUUGUGCACUAACUCAAGGACAAAAGAACCAGCUUGGAAUUGGAGAAGAUGUGUAAAUCUACCUGUGGAAUCAGAGGUAAAUUUUAUAGCAUUUUUCUGAAGGUUUCUCUUGAAGAAGACUUGGACAACAGGCAAAAGCUUCCACAAGAAGGAUCAUAAAUUUGUUGCUUGGUAAUGGAUACACAGAUAUGAAGUGGGUAUUGUGUUACUUUCUGAAGUCUUAGCGUUCUCCUGUCCCAGUUCUCAGUGAUCCAUUUUGCUCACCUAAUAGAGCAGUACCGUAUUUAUUUAUCAGCUACAUACAAGAAAGAUGUAGAUUUAGCUCUUUAUUCUUUCAAGCAAUUACUGCUCUUAUUAUGUUA
RNAcentral lists this long non-coding RNA (493 nucleotides) under Numida meleagris (helmeted guineafowl). RNAcentral's name for it is "lncRNA (ENSNMEG00000005519.1)". Lineage: Eukaryota; Metazoa; Chordata; Aves; Galliformes; Numididae. The record is from RNAcentral.